RNAcentral lists this ribosomal RNA (497 nucleotides) under uncultured bacterium. RNAcentral's name for it is "partial 16S ribosomal RNA". It matches the Rfam family "Bacterial small subunit ribosomal RNA", at positions 28 to 507 of the family's 1533-position model. The record is from RNAcentral.
GACGAACGCUGGCGGCGUGCCUAAUACAUGCCAGUUGAGCGCUGAAGGUUGGUACUUGUACCAACUGGAUGAGCAGCGAACGGGUGAGUAACGCGUGGGGAAUCUGCCUUUGAGCGGGGGACAACAUUUGGAAACGAAUGCUAAUACCGCAUAAAAACUUUAAACACAAGUUUUAAGUUUGAAAGAUGCAAUUGCAUCACUCAAGGAUGAUCCCGCGUUGUAUUAGCUAGUUGGUGAGGUAAAGGCUCACCAAGGCGAUGAUACAUAGCCGACCUGAGAGGGUGAUCGGCCAAAUUGGGACUGAGACACGGCCCAAACUCCUACGGGAGGCAGCAGUAGGGAAUCUUCGGCAAUGGACGAAAGGCUGACCGAGCAACGCCGCGUGAGUGAAGAAGGUUUUCGGAUCGUAAAACUCUGUUGGUAGAGAAGAACGUUGGUGAGAGUGGAAAGCUCAUCAAGUGACGGUAACUACCCAGAAAGGGACGGCUAACUACGUG